AACGAACGCUGGCGGCAUGCCUAACGCAUGCAAGUCGAACGAGACCUUCGGGUCUAGUGGCGCACGGGUGCGUAACGCGUGGGAACCUGCCCUUAGGUUCGGAAUAACUCCCCGAAAGGGGUGCUAAUACCGGAUAAUGUCUUCGGACCAAAGAUUUAUCGCCUUUGGAUGGGCCCGCGUUGGAUUAGCUAGUUGGUAGGGUAAAAGCCUACCAAGGCGACGACCCAUAGCUGGUCUGAGAGGAUGAUCAGCCACACUGGGACUGAGACACGGCCCAGACUCCUACGGGAGGCAGCAGUGGGGAAUAUUGGACAAUGGGCGAAAGCCUGAUCCAGCAAUGCCGCGUGAGUGAUGAAGGCCUUAGGGUUGUAAAGCUCUUUUACCCGGGAUGAUAAUGACAGUACCGGGAGAAUAAGCUCCGGCUAACUCCGUG
RNAcentral lists this ribosomal RNA (433 nucleotides) under uncultured bacterium. RNAcentral describes it as "partial 16S ribosomal RNA". It matches the Rfam family "Bacterial small subunit ribosomal RNA", at positions 29 to 507 of the family's 1533-position model. The record is from RNAcentral.